GUGCUUAAUAGGGUAUACAUGUCAUAUUAAAACGAGAAAAUAGGUUAUAUUUGCAGAAAUUGAAGAUGUAACAUUUUGUGUCAUAAAUGUUACAUCCAAAAAAUGUUACUUAAAACAGCUUUGAGAUGUUCCCUGUCAAAAACAUGCAGAUUUACCCGGAGAUAAACUGUUCCAACAUUCGGGUAUAAUGUUGUGCAUGGACGGUUUUUCCUAGAAGUACUUCAAAUACGCAAGUGUUGGACAUCCAUGAAAAUAGUGUCAAUUUGUUACAUCUUAUAUACAACACUAAUAAAUUAAAUAAAAGAGAACCAAUUAACAUAAUAGCAAUAUUCAAUUGAUGUUUUGAAAAAUUUAUGACAUAAUGUCAUACUAAUGUACAACCAUAUUCAACACAUGCAGUCUUUUCAACUUUCAAUGGAAGAAAACAAGGUUGCAAAAUUGAAGGAAGUGCAAACCAGACAUUAGUUACAUCAUGUACAUGAAAUAUUUCAGUUAUAUUUACCACAUAAAUAUACAUGUAAUGAAGGAUUACUGUGAUUAAUUUUGUUAUUUCUAAAUCUGAUAUCAUCAAGAUUGUUAACCUGACAAAUUUGGUACGGCUAAGUUUGAUGUAAACAGAUUUAUGAUAGAUGAAGAAUGGUACAACCAUUUCGCUGCAAUAAGUCCGUGUAGAAUAUGGUUUCAUUGUUACACCCUUGAAUUGUUUGUCAAAAUUUAGGCUAAUGAAAAAUUCAUGAAUAAAAGUAACCCAAUUUACACACGGAGAUUAGUUCACAUUGCACCACAAUAUUAAUACUAGGAAAGGUCCAUGAAAAGAUAAGCUAAUAUAGAUACUGCAGUAUAUGGUGUAACACUGAAACUAAAUCAAUUUUUGAUGUAACAAAGAC
Molecule: long non-coding RNA, 887 nt
Filed under: Mytilus galloprovincialis (Mediterranean mussel)
Lineage: Eukaryota; Metazoa; Mollusca; Bivalvia; Mytilida; Mytilidae
Source: RNAcentral